AGCUCCAGUAGCGUAUAUUAAAAUUGUUGCAGUUAAAAAGCUCGUAGUUGGAUUUCUGGUAUUGUGGGGCUGGUCCGUGCCUUCUGGGUUACGUGUAUCAGUUUCUGCUUACCAUCUCUUCUGGAUACUCCUGUGCCCUUAAAAGCGCAGGAUCCGCACAUCCAGAUCUUUUACUUUGAAAAAAUUAGAGUGUUUAAAGCAGGCUUACGCUAUGAAUACAUUAGCAUGGAAUAAUGAUUUAGGACUUUUGUCCUUUUGUUGGUUUUCUAGGACGAAAGUAAUGAUUGAUAGGGACAGUUGGGGGUGCUAGUAUUUCGUCAACAGAGGUGAAAUUCUUGGACCGACGAAAGACUAACUUAUGCGAAAGCAUUCACCAAGGAUGUCUUCU
RNAcentral lists this ribosomal RNA (388 nucleotides) under uncultured Cercozoa. RNAcentral describes it as "bacterial SSU rRNA". It matches the Rfam family "Eukaryotic small subunit ribosomal RNA", at positions 587 to 972 of the family's 1831-position model. Lineage: Eukaryota; Cercozoa. The record is from RNAcentral.